RNAcentral lists this unclassified non-coding RNA (329 nucleotides) under soil metagenome. RNAcentral describes it as "partial contains 5.8S ribosomal RNA, internal transcribed spacer 2, and large subunit ribosomal RNA". The stretch from base 1 to 120 matches the Rfam family "5.8S ribosomal RNA", at positions 35 to 154 of the family's 154-position model. The record is from RNAcentral.
GAUGAAGAACGCAGCGAAAUGCGAUAAGUAGUGUGAAUUGCAGAGUUCAGUGAAUCAUCGAAUCUUUGAACGCACAUUGCGCCCCUUGGUAUCCCGAGGGGCAUGCCUGUUCGAGCGUCAUUUCACCACUCAAGCCUGGCUUGGUGUUGGGCGACGUCCCCUUUAGGGACGCGCCUCGAAACGCUCGGCGGCGUGGCACCGGCUUUAAGCGUAGCAGAAUCUUUCGCUUUGGAAGUCGGGGCCCCGCCUGCCGGAAUACCUACUCGUAAGGUUGACCUCGGAUCAGGCAGGGAUACCCGCUGAACUUAAGCAUAUCAAUAAGCGGAGGA